UUCUCUCCCAAUUUCAUGACAACAAAAACCUAGAAUACAAAAGACUCAAAAAACGACGCCACUUGCCUGCAUCUCAGAAUCAAUUUCACCAAUUUUUAAACAGGAUCCACUUUCUUCUUCAUAGUAUGCAUAAUUUUCUUCAUAUUUCAAGACCAUCACAUGACUUAACCCAUCAUCCUCUCUCUCAUUUUUCAUAUGCAUAAAUCAAAAACAAACUAACGAAAGUAGGAGCAGAUUUGUUUUUUUUUUCUCAAGAAACUUAAACCUCUUCAUUACAUCCAUUCUUCUUCGUUUCACCUUCACAAAACCUCACCUUAAAAAUCCACAUUCCAACUUGUGAACCAAACCCUAACUCUUUUGUGAAACACACCUUCCACACUCUUCAUUUCCUCACCACUUAACUUUCAUAAACUCACUCCACCAUUUCAAAACAACAACCACCAACUUUCAACUUUUCUACCAUGAAAACCUUCCAUUUCUAACUCCCUCACUAUUCAAAUAACCAUACACCAACCACCAUACUUACAUAGCACAUGUGACCUCCUUAUUUUUUAUGACAAUAAAUACACUUUCUUUUUCAAAAACCACAACAACACUAUAUAUUUGCAUCACCUCUAAACCAAUUUACACUAUCUCUUUUAUCUCAUAAACCAAACACAAACACCUCAUAACAAUAGCAAUGUGACCGCAUUUUCGACCAACAUUUUGCCGGUCGAACCGCCACUCUCACCUUCAAAUAACAACUCGAUUCCGCCACUGCUUUCCACAUAGCAGCAACACCACCACCACAACACAACUGAAAACAAACCACCGUGACGACGCCAUUCUGACCGUCGCCUAUGUCACAACCACCAUCUUAACUCGUAGGUCCACCUUUGGUAUUCCUUUUCUCCCUCUUUGUUUUCGUUCUAACAUGUGCUCAUUUCUUUUUUAAGCUUGUGUGAUUAACAAGAGAUGAGAUUUUUAUUUUUUUAAUUACUUUUUCUUCACCAUGAAAGAGGAGAUGAGGUUUUGUUUUGAUUUUUAAUUUGUGUUGUUGUGGUGCUGAGAGAGAUAUACGUGAAAAAAGAGUGGAAGGGCUGCUCUUUUUUUUCUUCAUGUUUUUUCAUUAUAUUCAAAAAAAAUUUAAUUCAAAAUAGAAAGAGAGAGUAUAAGUUGUGAGAAAGAAGAUUUUCUUCUUCUAUGGCAUCUUCACAUGCGAUGAGAGAGAUGAAGAGGACCAUUGAUUUGUUUUGUUUACUAUUAUUACUUGUUUUCUUUUUGUUUUUAUUUUUUAAUUCAUCAUGACACGUGUCAAAAUGUGGUUGUGGGGUUUGUUUUAAUUUUGGAAACUUUCUUUCUCUCUUUCCAGUUACUAUACCACUUCCACCUUUGGUCUUGCAUCAUUGUUUUUUUUCUAUUUCUUUUAUUUGAUGUAUAUUUAUUUUAUUUUAUUAGGAUUAGAUUCUUUUGGGCUUGGACUUUGAAAUAUUAGUUUGGCACACCCCAUAUCCCCAUUUCCACCCCUUUCAUGUUUAUAAUUUAUUUUUAUUCUCUUUUAUUUAGUAGUUACUUAAUUAGCUAGAAGUUUAUUUGAUAAGUUGAUUAAAUUUCAAUUAAUUAGUAAAUUACUUGAUAACUUUGUUGCCUCUUGAUUUGUUAUUGUGUUGCGAUCUCAUAGUUAAAAUUCAAUUUAGCUUUUGAAAAUCGUUUGGACGCAUAGAUUUUGCCCGACUUCUUGUAGAGUGAUUCCUACAUGAAUCCACUUUAAGUUAGCUUAAUAUAGCGCUAAAUUCAGUUUGCUUUCAAUUUUUAUUAGUUUUCGGUCUCGUGACUUGCUCUUGGGCCUUCUUACAAUGGGAUCAUUUUGUUUUCAUUUACCUGUUUCACGGGUUUGCUCUUAAUCGAUUUAUUAUAUCCCCAUUGACAAAGUGUACCCCAUCCCUUGUUUGUAAUUUGUAUUUAUUUUAUCGAUUUUAUUUCUAUUGUUUUUAGUUAGUAAAACGAACUAAAUAAUUAUUCGACCACUAAAAUAAAGCCGACCUUUCAAAACAAUAAAAACACUUGGUCAACACCAAGUUCCAUUUUCAAAAACACUUGCUCAACACCAAGUUGUCACCACUUAACUCCAAACCCAUUUCAACCAUAAAUCAUUAUCACCAUCCAUUUCAACUAUCAACCAUUUUCAAUCCAUUCACAUCACAAAUAAAAAGUUUGAUCCAAUGUCAAGUUUCUUUUCUCAAUCAAAUCAAAAUGACUUACCAUUAACAACUUUGACUUUUUAUAACAAAAUGGAAGGAAAGAAUUACCUGGGUAUAAAAUCCAGUCAUAGUCCUGAGUAUUAGACCCAAAUUGUAAAAGUUUGCAAGUCAUAAAUACUCUACUUUGAAUCCAAAAACAAUCCAACCAAUAAAACUCUUUUCUCUCCGUCGUGCGAACUUUAACAACCUUUUCACAAACGGAAGAUGUUUUCGUAUCAAGACGAUGCAAAAUAAUGCUUCGUCCACAAUCGUGUGAGUUGAGAUAAGUGACAUUUUCCCAUGAAUGUUGAUAUGUAGAAGCCCAUUCAAGGUGAUGCAAAUGCCCGCUUCCCACCUGUUUUAGGAAGCAAGCAAUGUUUUUCCGUAGAUUGAGAUAAAAUAACUUUCACUAAAAUCGACAAACAAAUAAAUAUUUUUUACCCAUAACUACGUAGCCUUGAGUUCUCCGUCGUACCCAGAGAUACGUAGGAGAGAGAUUCAAAGUUAUGUCAAACACCAUAAUAAAAAAUAAACCUUUCGAUUCUAUUCUUCUUUCCUUGUAAUAACCUGAAAAGCCUAACACUUCUAUGCUAACACUAGCGCGCUGUAGCGGUAAAUUCAUGACCAUUAAGUUAUGGAUAAACUUAACGUCAAUUAAACCAGAGUCGCCACCGCGCUUUUAUUGUUUCCAAAGGAUAAGGGAAAAGUACGAACAAAACCCAAAGAUAAGAAAUUUUCAAAUCAAAACUAAUAAAAUUCCAGAGAUUACAGGUAAGGGGGUUGGUUACACAAAGGGAAGGUGUUAGCACCCAAAGUGUCCUAGGUACUCCUAGGGAGCCCUUUUUUAUGUGUGUAUGUGUUUUGGCAUAAAAGAUGUUUGCAAUAAAAUAAAGUGUGGGGAUGAGAAAAGAAUUCAUUAAUUAUAUUUUUGUGUUUGACAAGACCUUCGAACUUGUGCCUACGUACCAACAUAAAAUGAGGGAUCAAAACCUCGUAGUUCGUGGUAUCAAUUUAAAAGUGAAUGAAUUGCUUUUAUCAAAAUAUUAAGUUUAAAAGAGGCACAAAAGGCCUAAAAGAGUUUGAAUGAGUGUUAGUUCUUUUUGUCUUUUGAAAUUUUAAGUCAAUUAUGGUUAAGUUCAUUUACAAGUUUGAUUAAGAAAAACAAGCUUAAAAAAUGCAAUGGCAUAAGGCCAAAGUUUCUAAUUUUCAAUAAAGUCUAAAUUUAAAAAUCACAAGUUAGAAGAUUUUGAAAGAGGGGAGAGAUUUGAAAUUUAAGAAGUGGGGGGAGAUGAAGAGACUAAUCCUAAGCAAAAAUUUAAAAGUUAAGAGUUGAAAAGAUCUGACCAAUGGGAUGAAAUCCAAUAGACAUGAAUGUCAUAUAGAAACCCAUUUUUAUUUUGGACUUUGAAAUCAAGCAAUAUCAAUACACAAGUAGCAAGAUGAAGAGUAAGGCAUCAAAUAAAGAUAGCCACAUCCAAGUUAGCAACUCCAUAUUCAUAAUCUCCCAUGCAUCAGAUGACAUACUCCUUGAAUGGCUCAGAAAUAGGCCUUAGACACAAGUUCAAAGUAACAUUUGCAUCAAGACCAUGUAGCAGAUGCACUCAAAAGGGAUCUCAAUACUUGCAUAAGAUGAAAGUUCAAUUCACAAUGACUUGGCUUCAGAAAAGCUGGCAUUGGCCAAGUCCUUUUGCAUAGGGAAUGUUGCUUAAUUCUAAGUCCAAGUCUCAGAUCAAAUCCAACAGUCCACACAAACAUUUUUUUAAAUAGUUUUUGUUGUUAUUAUGUACAUUAAGGUCCUAAGACCACAAACACAAACAAAAUACACAAACAAGUAUAUACAAUCACAAUAUAUUCACAAUACAUGGCUCAAGUGAGCAAAGUAAAAAUGGGAUUAAAAUAAACAAGUUAAAUGAUAUGAAUAAUGGCAAAUGAUAAAAGUACUUGAAUUUAAAGGGCAUAAGGUAAAUGACUUCAAAUUAAAAGUUAGUCAAAUGUUAGUUGAUUAGAUGUUAGUAUUGUUUUUUCUUUUCAAUUGUUUAAGUCAUUCUUUGGAGAACACUCAACCCUCUAUUCACAAGCAUGUAUCCUUGAACCAAGACAUCUUCCAAAGGAAGGAAAAAAGGCCAAGUUUCCAUACAAUACCGUGAAAGGGGGGAGACUUACAAUCUCACUUACUAGAAUGUUAUGCUUUUGGGUCAAAAUUUAGCGCUAUGUUAAGCAAUCGUAAUUGGACUUAUGUAGAAGUAAACUAGUCAGUGGGCAAAUAAACUUUAGUGUUAAUGGCAUGUUAGGAUAUGGUAUAACGAAUCAUACUCCUAAAACAUACACACUUAAAAAGAAAUGCCAAAAAGGAUGAACCUAAUCUCAUCAUACUUGUGUUGGUUUAUGAACCAACUAGCCUAUAGAUAUAGAGAUAAUAAUUGGUAAGGAAUGGAUCAAUAGAAUGGGAUUGAAGAUGAAGAGGAAGGGAAAUGAGACAACACAAUUGAUCAUGAGAAAUUUUAUCAAAUAAAAUCAUUCAUUCAUUUUGGGAGUGAAAUGUACAUUUCAUGCAAUCUAAAUCCAAUGAUUUUAAUCCAACAAAGUCAAAUCAACCUUGACCAAGGCCCAAACACAAUAGUCAAACUUCACAAGUCAAUAAAAAUAGCUCAACACAAUUUAUUCACAAUUAAAAAUCAAUUAAAAAUGCAUUAAAUUGAAUUAUUAUUGAUCAAAAACCUAAAACCUCUUCAAAACACCAAAUAAAUAGCCAAGAUAUUUAUCAUAGGUCAAACAAGGUCAAAGGACCUUGGAGAAAAAAUAUCAUUAUUUUUGGAAAGUCAAAAGUAUUUUUAAACAAUUAAAAUAUGCACAAAAACGAUUAAUUCAUGAAAAAUAUUAAUGUUGAUCCAAAAAAUAAUUUUAAUUCAGAAAAAGAAAUAGAAAAAUAUUUGAAAUUUUUUGGUGAAAGUCCCACAUUUUUUGGAUCAAUAUUAAAAUUAAUAUGAAUUAAUGAAAAUAUAGCAAUAAAAAUGAAAAUUUAAAAAAUCAAAUAUAUGUGGACCAUAUGAUCUCCCUCAUUAGUUGAGGUGGCAGAUCAAAUGGUCCAAAGCGCGCGCUCCAUGUGAUCUCUAGUCAACUGUGCAACACACGUGGUAAUCACAACCAACGCUCAAGAUUAAAACAUUUUGAAUGGAUCAUGUGGUUCAGAGACUUGCCAAAACAUCGUCGGAGCCAGAGCUCCGAUUUUCUUCUCCGGUGGAACUCACCGGACUGGUCCAUCUUCAACCAUCCCCAAAAUAAAAAAUUAAGACAUGGGUUUAAAGAAAAAUUGCUCAGGAGCUCGAAUAUGGCCUCAAUUUUGUCUAACUCCAAGUAUAUAGGAAGAUACAGGGAGUUGAAUUUUGAGGUUCAUGAUUUGAGUUGCUUCAAUUUGACCUCUAAACAACUCAACCUUGUUGCCUACAUUGGUAGGACUUCAGACAACCAAGAAUCAACAAGAAUAACAGAGAAAUAAGAGAGAAUCAAAGAGUGGAAAAAUAUGGAAAAUCACCUUCAAUGGAUCUUCAGAUUGGCACAAUCUUGCUCUCUAUUAUGCUUGGCCUUGCUUCAGAUGCUUGAUGGAAUGGAAAUGGAUCAAGGAAAGGGGUGGACUCUUGGAGUUUCAAUCUCAAAAUAGUUGGAGAUUUGAAACUCGAUUUUUAAAGAAAAUCUUCAAGCUUAUCCUUUAAUGGCGAGGGUUUAGGGUUGCUGAAUCAAAUCUUGCGCAUGAGGUCUCUAUUUCUGAGCAAGAGAGUUUCUAUUUAUAGGCCAAUGGGACUGAUAUUUGCACACUUCCAUUUUUGGAAAAACUUGAAAAUCUCUCUUGCAUGCUUGCAUGGGCGUGUGAUAGGCCCAUCAAGUGAUGCACUUAGGUCCAAAAUUGAGUGUAAGCCAUGAUGAAAUCAUGUUGUCAAUCCAUGCAUUCAUGUAUGAAAAGUGGAACUUGAUAUUAUCCAAAUGGUCUUUCAACUUUAACAUAUUCGUAAGUCAUUCAUCCUUUGUCCAAAUGAGAUGAUUUUGGACAUUUUAGAAAGAUUAGAUCAACAGGAACAACUUUUAUGUUGAACAUUUUUUCAUUUGAAGCUUGGAUCAUGAUGAAUUAUGAGGUGGAAGUUUGGAAAAUCAAACAUAUAAAAAAAAUCUAAGUACCAAGCCAUAUGUUCACUUCUUCCACCUUGAAUAACUUCUUCUAUGGGUUUCAAAUGAGAAACAUUCCUUCAUCAAAGUUGUAGCUAUUCCAUAUCCAUUAAAAUUUGUCACAAAUUUGACCUUAUUUGGAUUUGGGAUGAAGGAGUUAUGCAUUUUAGGAGUUGAGGAAAAUCACUUGUUCAAUGGUAUAGGCCCAAAAUGACCUAUAAUGUUUUCACUUGGCACAUGCAUUUUCAAGUUGAGUUUGCACUUCCUCUAAGGAUCAAAUUUGAAUUAGACAUCUUGAAAUUAAUCAUGAAACUUUAAUGGCUUUCAUCUCAUACAAAAUGAGCAAGUUAUGAUCUUGAGAAGUUGACCUCCAAAUUAGGGUUUGACAAAAUGACCUAUAAUCUCUCAUCAUAACAAAUGACUUUCCAAGAAAAACUAGCUCUUGACCUCAACAUUAAAGUUGUUUGGAAUGUCAUUUAGAGUAACUUUUUUCUUGGAAUCAUUUUCAUAUGAUAAAAUCGUAUGAGAUAGGGUCUAAGGAACCCCAGUUUUGACUAGUUGACUUUCUCUGGUCAACCACCAUGCACCAACUUGCUAGCUUGAUAUUCUAUUGACUUUUAGGACUCAUGGAGGAUCAUAUAUCCAUAAGAUAAUUAAAUGUGAAGUAUCCCUUGAAAUAUUUGACCAAUUGGUGAAGAAACUUGUUGAAGAAGUCACACAAGAUACCCAUAUGAAUUAGGGCUUCCAAGGCAAACAAGCUCCAAAAUCUUGAUGAUUUAUUGAUCAAAAUAACAUGUGAAGAUCAUGGGGAUCCAUAUAUGAUAUUUAGAGCCAUAGUAAACCAUUUCUUGAUUGAGCUCCUUGCAUUGAGGGUCUUGAACCCUAUAUAUGAUCUUGAUAGAUCAAAGGUGAGCAUACACACUACCUACAAAAGCAGUUAAAUUAUACAAUGACAUAUUUUUGGUAUUUUGGUUAGUAAAUAAAGAAAAGUGAAGUAUGAUACAAUCAAAUGUGCUUGAUGAUCUCUCCCAAUGCAAACCCAAUGAAUGAGGGGUAAGGAGGAUGCUAAGGUGUGAUCCUAAUGUUAAUGCAUAAAAUGAGAAUAUCAUGAGGGAUCUUAGGGUCAAAAUUGGGGUCUUACACGCGCACAACUAACCAAAUGAUUCCUGUUGAGUAUAACGAGCGUGAGGGAUGCUAAUAACAUCCCCUUGUGUAAUUGACUCCCGAAACCUUAUUUGGUUGCGACGGCCAGUAUCAUUGUUGUUCUUUUUAAGGGUUUUAUCGAUACUUUUCUUUUCACUCUUUGAGAAUAAAUAAAGUUCGGUGUUAAGUCAAAACAGUGGACGUGCGAUACGCCUCGCGAUGUCAUGUUCUCAUUUUUCGAGGUACGACAGUUCCAUUUGGCCCUUUCUUGACCAAUCUAUUGCAUGUUGACAUCACAUUUAUCUCCUUCGAACGAUGGGUCCACAUGUGUUCUCAUAUGAAUCCCAUACAUUGUGGGUUCUUUAAGUUGAAGAAAUCGGUUAAUUGACCUCCCACUGUAAUCAACCACUUUACUUCAAACAAAAAAGCUUUAAUCAAAAAUAUUUUCUUGCACAUUUGCAAAGAACUCGAACCCUAUUGAGUGGUUGAUAUAGUCGAACAAAAUGCCAUUGAAAUAUUCUCAAUCUCUAGUCUUUACGUUUUCUUUAAUUAUGGGAUUCUCGUCUAUAUCACCCCAUGAAUUUCCAUUUAAGAGUUAACACUACAAGAUUUUUUUUUCAAAAUAACCAUUUUUUCCAAAAAAAAAUCCAAAAUAACCAGUUAUUCAAAAAAAUUACCAAAAUAACCAGGCUUUGUAGAGGAUGCGCCAGAUGAAUUGGCACAUCCCCAAUGCAUGAAGAGGAGGCGCUAAUAGCAUUAGCGCAUGCACUGGGCUCCUCAUUAGGAGGCGCCAAUGCUAGUGGCGCAUGCAUUGGGCCUAAUGAGGAGGCGCCAAUGCCAGUGGCGCCUAUGUGCAUUUGGUUGGUGUAUGAGCCAAUUCAUCCGGCGCAUACAUUCCUUGCUGUUAUUUUUUUUAAUUUUUCUAUUUUUUUUUAAUUUUUUUAAUUUUUUUAAUUUUUUUAAUUUUUUUAAUUUUUUAGUUUUUUGAUUUUUUUAAAUUAUUAAUAUUAAAUUUUUAUUAUUUAAUAAAUAAGAAAUAGUAAUAAAAAAAAUUCAUUGAUGAUGUAAUAAUUGGUUACAUUGGGCUGAAAAUAAACUAAUGAUCGACCCGAUUAUAACGUCCCCCUGUUCCACAUCCCAGUGUGUUAGUUUGUCUCUGAGGUCUCCCACAAUUUUCUUGAGGUGUUUAGGGUUUUUGUGUGCUGACCUUGUCGUGUGAUGGCUGGUUGGAAGGUCCGACGGAAGUUCUAGUGAUAUUUGACAGAUGUGUCAUCAUUUGCUCCCAAUAUCCGGAGGGGCUCUGGCCAACGACGCUUCCGUAAGUUUGAUGCCCAUGUCAUCAUAGUUAAGGCAUUGGGUGAAUUAGGGACGGUAUAGUUGCCCAAAUUAGGCCAUUGAGUCAUUUUGGAAACGAAGCAAUGGUUCCUAGGGCGUACUAUAGUUAAACAAUGGUUAGGUGUUAUGUUGAUGGGAUGUUUGGGUGGUCAUUGAUGGGGGGUUACGAUGAAGUGAUCCAUAUGAAUCAUUUGGGCUAUAGACGGUUGUGGUUGCGGGGUUUGAUUCUUGGUUUUGUGUUUGGGUGGGUGGUAUGAAUUGAUUGCGACGUUGGAUGGUUGGUUGUUGGGUGGUUGGCAUGAACGGGUUGCGAUGUUGGGUGUUUGGUCGUUGUGUGUAUGUGGUUGGUCGAUGUUGUGUGGUUGGUUGUUGGGUUUGGGUGGGUUCACAUUGUUGUUGGGUGGUGAAUUGUUGUGUGGCGUACGAUGACGAAGCAAGUUGGCGUGGAUCCAUCAAAUACCGUGGCUCAGAUACAAAUUGUUGAGUUGUUACCGACCUAAACCAUGCCAUAUAUUGUUGAGUCGGUCUUGCACCAUGGAUGACUGGUUCAUUCAAGAUGUGUUAUCUUCGAUUCCUCCAUUAAUGACACAUCUCUUUUGCAAAGUCUCUCUAGUCAGAAUAAUCCCAUUGUGCAUCAACCCUUUUUUGAUGCCAAUUCUCCAAACACGUGGGAGAUUCUGGAAUCUGUUGUAGCAUUCCGAACUGCAGUUUGACCCGGUCAUUCUGGUGCAUUUCCACCAUAGUGAAUCGGAUAAUCGGUGUCUUCGCUGUCCAAACUGCAACAUCGUCAUGGUUCACAUCAUGAUCCAGACCCAGAUAUGUCCUCCAGACAAACUGUAAAACAAUACGAAACGAUUAGAUGGAAAAUAAUUUGAGAAGUAUUUUUAAAUUAAAAUAUAGUUGGGUAGGAUUAUUACAUCGUCAUGUCCAAUGUGGUCCAAUAGAUUGCGAUAGACUACAAUAGCGUGUUUCGACACCUUUGUAGUUCAUUCCCUACUGACCAUAAAAAAGAAAUGAAAAAUAUUAUUUACUGUUAAUUAUAAUAUAAAAUAUAAUUAACUAAAUGGUGAAUGGUAAAGUGUUAGACUUACUUGGUUGCAAACGGGAACACGAAUGGGCGCUCAUUUAUCGGGGCAAGCGACGGCCUUCUUGACCAACCCCAAGCUUGAAGCAAAUAUGCACAUGAAAAAAAAAGUACAGGUAUUCUUUUUUGCAGUUCUACACAUUGCACUAUAUAGAUGGGCUAACACAGCUGAACCCUAAAUAUAAGUGUUUACCUUAUUAAUGUUGUGUAAUAAAGGUAAAUACAUUAUAUUUAUAGAAUUACCUGUACUUUCUGGAAACAAAAAAUUACCAAAUAAAAUCAUAAUAUAACACUGAGCUUUUAUUAUUUUCUCAUACUCAGUUGAAUUGUCGGACAAUACUAUACUGGCAUAAUAUUGUUUAAGGUAUUUUAAAUUUAUACCUUGCCCCCUUGCUUGACCAGAUGUGUCUCCCUCAGUUUCAUCGUCUAACAAAGGGGCACCCAAUAAUUCAUUGUAGAUAUUGUUGUCUUGGUUAACUCGACCAUUCACUGCCUUUCCGUCUAUAUGGAGACCCAACAACAUGUACACGUCCUCAAGUGUGACGGUACACUCACCAAUCGGAAGGUGAAAUGUGUGGGUCUCGGGUCUCCACCUCUCCAACAAAGCCAGAAUGAACUUGUAGUCCACCGAGUAAUGUACACGUCCUCAAGUGUGACGGUACACUCACCAAUCGGAAGGUGAAAUGUGUGGGUCUCGGGUCUCCACCUCUCCAACAAAGCCAGAAUGAACUUGUAGUCCACCGAGUACGAAACAAUGUUGAGCAGAUUUCCAAAUCCACAUCCUCUAAUAUAUGGUUCUAUUAAAGGAUUGUGGGGUACAUAUUCAUGUACACAACAUCUAAACCGCUUCGGAUCCUAAUAACAAAAACGUAAGAAAAUACAAUUAGAAGAAGAAAUACAUAAUCAACAAACACAAAUCUAUAAGAAGUAAGAAAAACAUAGAUAACAAAGGUAUAAGACUAAAAACAGAAAAAGUAAAAAGAGAGAGAUAACAUACAAAUGUCGAGAUAUUCUCGAGUGUGCCUCUGUGUUCAUCGGCCAUAGUCAACAAAGACAUGAUUUGAUUUUGCAAAGCUUGAGUGUGGUAGAGGAAAAAAGUGUGGUAGAAGAAUAUAAUUGAGUAUUGAUGAAAAUGAUUUGAUAUUGUUGAUAUGAGAGGCUAUUUAUAGAUGAAUGUGUGAGUAAGUUUGCAACCUAAAAUGAAUGUGAUUGGUUGCAUGGAAUGGAAAGAGAAGACAAGGGAAUGACGAACUUCAGAAAGAAUGUGAGGACUCUCUCUUCUAGGAGCAUGUGAAGAAUCCACAUGCAAGGGAAGAGGAGCACUUCCUCUUGGCGCCUGCAUGUGAUUCUUCACAUGCAAGGAAGAGUCGCCCUUCCUCUUGGCGCCUUAGUGUAGGCAAAUGGGAAGGGGCGCCCUUCCUAGUGGCGCCUAAGUAUAAUUUUUGUGAAGAGGCGCCCAUCCUUUUGGCGCCCCAGUUACUUUAUGGCGCCUAGGUGGGAAUAUUAGGGCUCAUGGUUCAGAGAUUCCUUGGCGCAUGUGUGUUCUUGUCACUCUUUUCUCUGCAUGUUUGAUUCUUUCUACUGCAUGCAUGGUCAAGUUUGUACAGACAAUGACCAAGUUAUCAAUGCAACGACCAAGUUAGCAAUGCAACGCUAUUUAUGCUGUAUAGAUGAACAACUUAGCAAUGCAUUCAAUUCCAUUAAAGCUAUCUACAUAUUUAAUAUUUUAACAAAAUGUCUUUCACAUAACAUUACAUGAUCAGUGCCCAUGUUGAAGGUGAAAUAUUUGAUCAUAAGUUAUUCGGUUUUUUUUUCGAAACACAGAGGUAACUCGGUUUACAAUAAACCGACGAUCAAAUAUUUCACAUAUGAAACAAAAAAUAGAAAAGAAAUUGCAGUGCAGUAAUGUGGGCUAAAUCAUCUAUAAAAAUCUGGUUUGGUUUGCAGAAAACCAGGUAAAAUUUUAUCAGAAGAAGAUUCGAGAUGAUGAUGAUGUUCAACAUAUGCUUGUCAGUCACGAACAAUCCGGUUACAAUGAUAUAGAGUUGUAUAUAUUACCACAUCAACAACAGGUGUCUCAGUACAUUGAUCAGUCACAAGUGUUUUGCGAGACUGAUGACAAACAAGUUGAGGUGAAUGUUCUAGAUGACGAAGAAGAAGAAGUUAAGAUCAUGGUUGAUUCGAUGGUGAACGCUGAAGAGGAAGAGGAGCCAAUACCAGCAAGUCAUGUAUACUUCCCACCCCAACACAUGACAAGGUUAAAUUUGGGUUCAGAUAAACCUUCAACAGAUUUAUGGUACAAUCCUUACAUGCAGAUGCAAGGAUCUUUGAAACAAGGAGACACAUUUUGCACAAAAGAGGAAUGUGUAAAAGCCGUUAAGAAAUUCCACAUGCAACUAUCAACUGAUUUCAGAGUUGACAGAACUGAUGCAUCGAAGUAUAAAGUUUAUUGUCCGAAUGAGCACCGCCUUUGCCCUAGUUGAAGGGGAGACUGCUGAGGGAUGAAGUUUUUUCCUAAGAAAUCUCUGAUUGCACGUUGCACCUCAGCCUAACUUAUGUUUGAUCUCCGACAGACACCCUUCAAUCAUUAAUGCAUAUAAUAACAUUGACAACGGCUGUCAAAAUCCUCCUUCGACGCAUGUGUUCCGUAUUAGACAUAUUGCUCAGAAUGUCAUGCGGGAAAUCAAAGAUAAGACGUUGCGGAAGAAGGUUGUCAAUGCAGGUUACGCAUUAUCAGAACCUUCUUUUAAACACUAUCGCGAGGAAAUAAGAUUGUUAAUUGAAGAUGCGGUACGAUGGAUCGAUAGUAUUCCAUUGGAGAAGUGGACUAGGGCAUACAACAACGUUCAGCAUUGGGGCCACAUGACAACAAAUCUUGUGGAAUCAAUGAACUCUGUCUUCAAAGGCAUCCGUAACCUACCAAUAACCGCUUUGGUGCAUGCUACAUAUUUCAGGCUAUGGGCGUUGUUUGAAACCGGACGCUCAAAAUGGAGUUCAGUGUUGCAAUCUGGAUAGUUGUUCAGUGAUGCUUCAAUGAAAUUCAUCAGACAUGAAGCUGCUAAAGCAAACACACAUGUGGUUACAGUCUUUGACCAAAGUAAAGGUUGGUUUAGUGUUGUCGAGUCCAUGGAUCACAAUGAGGGCAUGCCGAUGGGACAAUACAAAGUCGAAUUAGAUAGAGGUUGGUGCGACUGCGGAAAGUUCCAAGCCUUUCGUACCCCCUGCUCCUUUGUCAUUGCGGCAUGCUCAAAGGUUCGAAGGGAUCCAUCCUACUUGCUAUCUGAAGUUUACAAAGUCGUCAGCCUUUCAAAUGUUUAUAAAAUUAGUUUUUCCGUAGUGGCAAAAGAGGAUUAUUGGCCAGAAUAUCAAGGGGACAUCGCCUGGCACAACGAAUUUAUGUGAAUGAAGGAAAAGGGUCGCCCAAACAGCACCGGAUUCGAAUCGAAAUGGAUACGGCGAACAAAAUGGUUAGACUAUGUAGUUCAUGCCGUCAACCAGGUCAAAAUCGUAAUAACUGUCCUAGUGUUGGAAUGAGCACAACCAGAUAAAUUUACAUGUACCUCUAUUGCAAUAUAUGAAAAACUAAAUUUAUUUCAUAUUAGACGUGUGUGACGAAAGUACCAUUACAUAAACAGUAACACAAAUAAUUCUAACAAAUACAAUACAAGAACUAUGCAAUUACAACCAUCAAAACAAUUUUGAACAUGUAAUGCAUCAUCCUACGGGCGUCUUGGUCGGUCUUAAUAUCCACUCAUUCGCGCACUUCUCCGUGUUGGUUGAACGUGGACACAAGCCAUUAUAUUCUUCUAAUUCGUUCACCCUCUAACCAACUUACAACGUCCGAUUAAGACGUUCAAACGUAUUUGUGUUCCAAAGUCGAACCUGUAUCGAAGCCGCAACGGCAUAAAAUAUUACAUCAGCAUUUCAUUUCUGAAUGUAUGCAGAUAUUGUUGAAACAGAGAAAAUUGAAAUUGAUGGUGGUUGAAUUAGACAAGUUAUGGUAUUAGGAGAUGAGUUUGAGUGAAAAAUAUUGCAUCCAAGGCGUGGUAAUUAUAGAGACGGAACAUAAAUUAUACAAAACACGUGGGCGCCUGAGGGAUUGGCACCCACAUGACCAUGACAUGCAGGCGCCAAAUGAAUGGACGCCCACACAAUCAAAUGCACAUAGGUGCCAAGAGCAUUGACGCCUCCUCAUGAGGCCCAAUGCAUGCGCCACUAGCAUUGGCGCCUCCUCAUGAGGAGUCCAAUGCAUGCGCCAAUGCUAUUGACGACUCCUCUUCAUGCAUUGGGGAUGCGCCAAUUCAUCUGACGCAUCAUCUACAAAAUCUGAUUAUUUUGACAAUUUUUUUAAAUAAUUGAUUAUUUUGGAAUUUUUUUAAAAAUAAAAAGUUAUUUUGAAAAAAAAAAUCACAUUACAAGCUCUAAUGCAACUACUUUCUUACUUAAAAACCUUUCAUAUUAAUCAUAUGGAUUUCUUGAGGAAUAAACAUAUCCUUUUUCGCUUUCUUGGUGAAGCGAUGGUAUGGGAAAGAAAAUAAAUGAAAAAGAGUGGCUUAUGAGAGUAGUUUAGAGAAUGAGAAAAGGGAAAUGGAGAAAAUGACUUUUGUUUAUAGAAUUUUUCUACGUCGUAUCGUGGUUAAUCACCAUGGUUUUGAUGUUUCAAUUUUCAAAGCGACAUAAAACAUAUAAAAAAUACGUACGAUUUAGUCGGAGGAGGGUCGUCCCAAUCAAUUUGAAGGCCUGUUCUAUUUUAAAAUUAAAUAUUUAAUAGAUGAAAACAUAAUAAAUUAAAAAAUAUAUAUUUUAUUUAAUUGUAAAUAAAAUUAAAUAUAUAGAGACAAAAAUAAGAAAAAAUACUAUGUAGAAAUUUGAUUUAUCAAAGUUUAGUUAUUCGCGAUUUUCUUCUCUUACCAUCUUCGAUUUAUAAAAAAAAUUCAUACCAUUUAAUAAAAGAAAAAAAUUUCUUUAAACAAUUUCCACAAUAUUAAUAAUGAAAUGUUUCAUUUAAUAAACAAUCAACAAUAUAAAAUUAUAAAUUUUUAAAGUCUAACAACUACUAUUUCAAAUUUAUUAAUGUAGUAAUUCACAAUGAUACAAAAAUAUAAAUAUUUCCAAACUUACAUCUCAAAAAAUUUCAUAGAUCUAUAAAAUAUAUUAAUAAAAGAAAAAAAUUGAUUAGAUUAAUUGCGAUAUUAAAUUUUAAAUAAAUUUAAAUAUAAUUUAUUUAGAUUAUAGGUUGCUGGAUAGGAUAUGCUUCAAUAUAUUAAUAAAAGAAAAUAUUUAUUAAAUUAAUUACAUAAUUAAAUUAAAUUUAAAACAAUGUGGUGGCGUUUUUUUAUAAAAGUAAAAAUAUACAUAAGUAAGAACAAGGAAUCCAACCUACCCAGGUUGUAUUAGUAUCAAAAUAAAAUAGCCGCCGCUCAGCUAUACUAUAAUAAUAUAUUAAAAUGGAAUUAGUGAUAUAUAUUCGUUAGUAUUAUAUUUAUAUUAAUCCUAUCUAUCAAAUUCAACACUUAAAAAAUCGGAAGCCCUGUGCGGUAGCACUCCUCGCACCCCACAUGGCCGACCCUGAGUCGGAGUACAAUAAAUGCCUAAAAAACUAAAAUAUAAUAAUAAAAUAAAAUAAAAAAGUAGUCAAACAAAUACAACAAAGACCAAGGGACCUAAAAGAAAAAUGCCAAUAAAAAAUUAGUAGAUAAUAGAAAUAUAAAUUGAAGUGCGAGUAAAAAAUUACAAGUGAAAGAAUAUUAUAGCAAAAAUAAACUUAUAUGCUUCUAUUUAAUACAAAUAUAAUUUCUCUACUUGAAUAUUACAUUAUGAUAUACCAUAGUCAAAUUCUCCAAAAUUAUGAUAGAAGGAGAUAAUUUAAGUAAUAUUAUUUGUUUUAUUUAUUUAUUUUCAUUACAAUCAUCUUAAGCCAUAAGAUCAUCCCAAUUAACACAUCGACAUUUCUCAUUAACACACAUCCUAAUAAAAUCAGAAAAACACGCUGGACAAUCGAUAUCAUAAUUACAUUUAGCAAAAACUGCAAUCAAAAAAGAGAAUAUAAGGAGAUGAUAAAUAUUAUAUAUCAAAAAAUUAAUAAGGAUGAAAAAAUAGCUUACCUUUAUUUUCUAUUGCAAAAAUAAAGAAGGAUAUAAAAUAGACAAUAGCAUAAAGAAACAUGUGAGUUUCAGCCAUAUUUUCUUUUUCUCUUUUGUAUGUAGCAAGUAGAAAAUGAUUUGAUCACUUUAUAAAUACAAAACUAAUGUUGUCUUUACGUCAAACAAAUAGUUUAUAACAC
RNAcentral lists this long non-coding RNA (16222 nucleotides) under Lathyrus oleraceus (garden pea). RNAcentral's name for it is "Pisum sativum (pea) long non-coding RNA (PSAT_LNC033240)". The record is from RNAcentral. Lineage: Eukaryota; Viridiplantae; Streptophyta; Magnoliopsida; Fabales; Fabaceae.